AAUGGCGGCUUCGUGUUCAGCAACGGUAAGUAGAUAUAAUAUUCUUUAUUAAUUAGUUAAUUAUAUUUGAUUCUUUCAAGUGUUUAUCGUUAAUGAAAUUCGAGAUUUUGUGAUUGUGGAUUGAGUGAAACAGUGAUAGUGUUUGUUCGCGCGAUUCGAAGCCAAAUAGUUGACACACGUGAACGAACGCUUCCCUCUUUCCGGAUGCGGCGCAUUUCACGCUUGCGACUUUCGAAAUACGUUGUGAAAAGGCUGGUUGAUUAAUAAUCAUGCCGAAUGGCUAGAACAACGAUAUUUACUUUGGCCGGUAUAUAGCCUUCUGUAGCGAUGUCUCUUUAGAAACUGCUGGUCAGAAAUGGUUGUACGAAGAUAACAGGUGCAGGAAGUCAUUCGGUGAGUCAUUUUCGUUUUACGUAACGGGACUGUGUAAGUAGAAAUUAGCAUCACUGUGGCGGGCAAAUUUGUGAGGUUAGAAUGGCAGACGUGUAAAUGUAAGAAGAAUGGAGGGAAUAGUGAAUGACCGAGGUGCAGUGUGCUUUGUUCUUGUCAAAUCUGAUAGCAACGGAAUUAUUGUGAUAAUUAAUGUGAACAGCUGAAGAAAUAACAUUGAAAUCACGAGUGAAGUGAAACACGAAUUUAACCCUAGAACGAUGGGGUCGAUCGGAACCCACGUUAAGAUAUUACAAGAGUAAUAUUUAGAAAGAUAUAAUAUAACGAUAGAAAGAAGAAUACAGUGUGAUUGUGCGGAAUGGUUGGGCAAAGUCUGCGGAAACAGGCGCACAAUUAACGGGGUCAAGUGGUUGAAGCAAAGCCCGCCUAUGACUGGUACAUGGUUUCUGCAUUAGAUCGACGCGUUCUUCGUUAACAACAAUAAAGAUACGUCCAGGAAGCGACACUUCCUUCGACGAGUGUCAAAAUCCGGUGUCAGUGAACGGCUUCUCCGCCGAGAUAGUGAAUUAUUUUCUGCAACGGAUAUCCAUUAUUUUCCUUCCUGGCUAAGUGUUGUGUCGAUUCAGACGUGCCAGGAGAUGUUGGAAGGGUCCGAGUCGAAUAAAGAAUAAUGGAUGGGGCUUGGUGACGUCGCGCGGAAGAUAUGAUACCUUCCUCUUUUGCCAGGAUUCACCAGGAUGACGAUAAUAAUAAUUUGACCUGGAACGUCUGCCUAGCGAAAAUCUAUGACCUUCGUGAAAUUGGAAAAUUGAAGGAUCGAUUCGAAAAGAAAUCUACCAUCUUUAUCCUUUCGUGAUAAGUAAUUGUGGAUACAUCUUGGAUAAACGUUUGUCAAAUUUUCACGAUCUUUCGAAGAAAAUAAUUAAAAAAAAGAAAAAGGACGCUAAGAAUUGAUUAAAUCAACACGUGCUUCGAACAGCUUCGAUAAUAUUCCAAUAUAAUAAGGCUAGUAAGCUAACCGGUCCCAAUAAAUGUAAAAUACCAGGCGUAAAUUAAUCACGUAAAGCAGGCGGCAUGCAACAGCCAUGAAAGGCAAGAUAGAAUUUCAUAUUUGUUUAAAAAAAAAAGAAAGAGGAAGAAGAAGAGAACGAAAAAGAAAGCUCGUCCCGUUUAAAUUCCCCGGCCGAUGAUGCUGAUAAGACGCCACUUAAAAGCGAUGAUUCAUCGAGGGCAUAGAAGAAAUGAGGCACAGGUGUGACAGAAAAAUAUUAGCGUCGUUUUAGCCAUACAAAUGGAAUCUUUAUUUCCACGGCGUGGAGAGUUUGGAGAUAUCACCGUGAGAUUAGCUGCUCCUCUCGCUGCAUAAUUAUCGUGGCAGCACUGCGCAUGCUCGAAUUAUCUACGAUCGGUAUCGUCCACGCGGAAGGGCAGAUGCGAAGAUCAAAUUAGGCUCUCGUUAGAAACUCCACGUUAUGUUCUCUGUUUGCUCGCUCUUUGGAAUAAAGGCCAGUCGAAGGUGUAGGUAACACGAGGCGUAUUGUAACUUUAAGUUGAAGAGGGUGGUUUCGCUUCUGACACCUACGAUCGGCCUCAGAUAGUCCAACCUUGGUACACCUGACUUAACAGGUCUUAGAGAAUUUAGAACGAGUGUAAUAAGUUUCGACUCGAAUGACGCCUCUUCGUCAUGUGGAAGUGGUAGGUACACCUUGUAGCCUUCCUAGAAGAGACCUAAACUCAUUUGAUCAAGUUUUGAUUGCCAUCAACAAAUGUCUUAAGGGUAUAAAUUUUACUUUUAAGCUAUUAAGAAAUUGUAUCUUCCUUCAUGACCCAGGCCGUGUAAACGAAUACCGACAAGCGGUCGCAAUUUAACGUUGAAAUGAUAUUUUUCCGAAUUGUAGGUGCACGAUAUAAGCUAUAAAAGCGUACGAGUGACAUACGGCCAGGCUCCGGGCCAAAAUCACCUCCGACUUGAUGGAGUGCUCGGUGAUUCCCCUGCUCCUCGACCUGCCUCCCCUUCCACGCACCACGUCCGAACGUCUGACCAACGUCCGACGUGUUUGUUCGCCCCUGAAUAAAGCGGCUUUCCUCUGCCCGGCAAACGCUUCUUAUCGAGGAAAUAUCAUUUUAUUUCAUUUAUGGCCAUAACGUCCAAAGGGGAUCUCACUUUUAUUGGCCUUUCGAAUCUCGAUCGUAUAUUUCAGCUUCGAAGCGUCGAACCCCUUUCGAUUCGACCGUCUCAUCAAACUUUUAAUAUUUCCUAAAUCAAAUAAUGGAAACCCGAAGAAGGGUUAAGUCAAUCGAAAGAUAUCGAAAAGCAGCAAACACUAUCGCGGAUGUUCCAUCGGUCGUGAAACAUGAAAAUUGUUAUUCCCGAGCCUAGCAGAGGAACUGGCGCGCAUAAACUCGAAAUCCGAUGUUUCACGUGCCAUAUUCCGGUAAACUAGCAUCUCCGUGCCGCGGCUGGUGUCACGUACACACGAACGAAUCACGUCCCGGGCCCUGCUGAUCCGUAUCAUCCAGGACGCGUGAGUUUCGAAGCCGGUCGAUCGAAUAUUUUUGCUAGAAGCGAUCACGUUCUACCUGCGAUUUCGCAUGCCAGCUUCGCGACGCUUUCUCAAAAGCACGUGCACCAUAACCCUUUGAAUUAUUGGCAAUCUCCUACUUUAGUAGGUUAACGUUGACUUUGAACGUUUUGCGGAAGCUGAGUGAAUUUGUUGAACCGUCGGUUCAGGGAGGUUGGGCUAUUUGAGUAAGUGGGGCACGGUAUUGAAUUGAUAGAGUGAUAUUACAGGAUAGGAAAAGGAAGCAAGAUUGGACUGCCGAAUCAAAUGGCUAAAGUAAAAUUCAAUGACACUAAAAUAUUACUUAAUAAUAAAAGCCAGAUACUUUUGUUACAAGAAUAGAGAGAAAAACUAAUCAGGAUAUAAAGUAUCGGCAAAACGGAGACAGAGUUGCCCAAGUAGGAAAUUGCCGGAGCAAUGAAGUGGAACACAUGAAGCGAGCGAGGCCACCAUAGCCGAGAAUUUCCAUCCAGAAAGCGACGGCGUACGAUCACGAUGACCGACAGCCGGAUUCGUGAAAAAUAUGGAGCGAGAGUGGAAUUCCACAUGCGUCUCGCUCGACUCCGGUUAGGUCAGCUCGAUGUCGUGUCGUUUCUCGCUUAUUUCAUAUUCCAUGGGGGCGCUGCUCUUCAUGUUUUCCUCCUCUACCGCGCCGCGCCGUGUCAGCCGAAAAUCCGCGACAUUCAUUCAGCACGUUUAUCGAUGCUUGGAGAAGGAAAAUUCUCGGCUCGUUUCCGCGGCAAACCAUAAAGUGACGCUUUCCCCUUAAGAAUAUAAACUUGUUCGCGGCUGAUAUAGCGAAUAUUAUGUGGUUGACGUCAAAUGGGAAUGGGAAGGGAUAAGGGGGAAGUCGAACGGAUAUGCGGGCUUCGCUCAUGGGAGUAUUACGGAUUCAAGGUGAGUAGGGGUCCCACGAAGUAACCCGAGACAUCAGCGGGGUAAUAUUUCCAUAUUCCGAUAUCGAAUAAAUGGACCGUUGGCGGGCGUGCGACGCGGGCAUAAAUCCUUAGGCUACCCGUCAUGCAUCACCGGCUAGCCGGGAAAGAUUCGAAGUCAGGCGGGGGUGGCAGGUGGUUUCCUCUUUUGCAUUCCUUAGAAACCCUCGCUUCUCUUCGACAAAUCUAACGAGGUUAUUGUUUUUCCCUAUAUUUUCUAUUUCCUUUAUUUAUAAGAGCAUAUUAUCACAAUUGCUACAAUUAAAAUAAGUGGAAUGAUCCACUGGAUGAUUUUCAUUCAUGCGGAUCCAACUAAAAAUUCAACUGGAAGCAAAAGCUUAUUCACAUAAACGGCUACAUUAAGCAACAAUGGUUCACCUUUCAAGACCGUCACCGAUCGAUGAAUGAAAAGGACCAUCUAUGGAAUUUAAAUGCACCGUAUCCGCGAGAACAUCAGAAAUUCACAGUGGCCCUUUUAAAAGUCACCAGAUUAACCUAUUCAAUGUCUGAAAGAUGAUUGAAACGAACCGAACGAUCGGAUAUUCGUACGAAUUAAUCGGCUGCCUUCGAAAAGUCAUGGUUCGUCGAUCAAUGGUCGACCCAUGCCGUCCAGUUCGAUGGGUCAACGUAUUGGCGACGAGAUAAGAACUACCAGUCCCAGGUUCCGACAGCUGAUCAACGUGCCUACUGCUCGUUUUCUCUGCCGAAGGAACUUUUUGCAUGCUACACGCACGCUUUCGCUGCGAUACGAACGAUCAAGUUCUACUGCAACCCGAUGGCGGGAACAAAUUGGUCACGUGGCUAUACGGUGUUUUCUAUGCUUUGAACUGAGAAGCUGAUAAAAUAGUCAAUAUUUAACAUUUCGACAGGAUGUCGCGUGACACGAUGUCAAUCAUCGUGAUCAUGACACGAUUGGAUGAAAAAGAAGAAAGUGUUGAAAGAAUUAUCAGCGUGACACAGCAUCGAGGAUAAGUGUCUGUUAAGUUAACCGAAAGCUGAAAGCAAGAGGAUAGCCGUUCGAGCGGGUCGUUCUAAAUCCAAAACCGUACCACGCUCGCUUUUCUCGGUCAUCGAUCUUGACCCUCUCACGGCCGCCUAACUAAAGAACUUUCAGGGUGAGCUACCCUUAUUCCCACGCGUUCAAGAGAACGACGCAUCGCGUCGCGUCGCGUCACGGUUUUCGUGGCAACAAAUCCCGAGGUAGUGUGCAGCAUCCAAGAGGAACACAGAGAGGAGUCCUCGGGGCAGAGAGAGCCGCUAAGUGACUAAUUAAUCGGCGAUAGCCUUUCACCGCGAUGUUAUUAAUGCGCCUGAAAGUAAUACACGCGCGUGGUAGACCAUUAAAACGCCAGAGGUGAAUUUACAAGUCGCGAGCCGCUUAGUUUACGACGAACCGCUUAGGACUGGGUAGCUCGACGCGGCUUGGCAACGAUCCCUGUUUUCUUGUCGCGCCUUCAACACUGCCUGACACGUUCGACCUGGGCCUGGAACACAAGGCCACGGCCCUGCACUCCUUUGAAAUAAACAUUUUACAAUACCUUAUCCUUAUACUCUACCAUCUACCUUUUUAAGCUUAUGUUAAAUUUCAUUGCGAAUAUUGUUAAGUGAAUCCCGCUGGUGACAAUUGCGAUAACUACCAUCCUCUAAUACCUCAGUUUGUUCAGUAAAACGAAGCAUUCACCUCUGCUUUCAAUUCCCCGUUUCGGAUCGCAGAAAAGAAAACAGAUCCAGACGAGGUAAUUGGAUGAUAACCAACAGACGUGACGGUCCGCGUCAUGGCAGACGAAAUUAAUACGCAGAUUAUCCGGGAACGGUAAUAUUCAGGCAGCAGAGCCUUUAGUCCUGUGCCUAAUUUCUGUCUUCCUUCGCAACUUAUAAUUCAAGCGCGCAGACUGGAACCGAACUGAACAGAACUACGGCAACUUGCGCAACGGUAAUUAUACACUUUCAGCCCCGGUUCCCGCGCGCUACCUGCCCGUCUGGCUGGCUGCCUGUGCGCCCUUAAAUUUCGGUUUAUUUAUGUCCCGGCUGACGGCUUCACGCUUUGCCCUCGUCCAGUCCUCGGAUGAAUCUCGCGAGUAAGGAACUGCAACUUGCUUUUCCCUUGUGAGAUACUAUUCUAACUUGGAUGCUGUUUUAACGUAACCAACCUGAUCUCUUUUCUAACCUAACCUCAACUGCGAAGUUUAAUUUUAGUUCCCAUCUCAUGGAAAUAUGCCAUUUGGAUAUUUGAGUGUCAUUUUUCAAGAUGACCGCGCCAGCGCAAUUAUAAUGGAAAAUGGAAGAAUCCACGACAAUAAGGGUAAACGGAAUAAGAAGUAAGCCGAGAAAGGUGGCUAGGCAAGAUUUAAGAGGCAGACCCCCCGGGCCAGUAAUUCUUAUAACAGCAUUAAAACAGAGCACUUUAAUUUACCGCACUGUAGCUUUCAUUCCUUGUGCUCAAAUAGUCUACGUCGACUUCCAUUCUUCGCGCGUGUUAUAUAGGGUGACGGCAUCGAGCUUCCGACGGAAACUCUCGGAAUGCGUUCCGGCCGCAUUAAAACCAAGGAAAGCUAUUAACGAAACGUUCUGUUCCGUCUUCAGGUGAAAUUUUGAAAUAUUAAAACGUGUCCGCUUGGCUAAUUCAACGUUAUCCCGGCGAAGGGUGUCAUCAGUCAUUGUUCGCGAUUAACCUAACCUUCGGUGACGUUGCAAAACAAUGGCGUCGCGAUGCUACAAAAUUUACUGUAUCUGGCGCCGCUUCUAUAUUUACGAUGGGCAGCAGAGAACGGGCGAUAACUACGUGAUCCAACGGGGCGUCUCCAGCAUAUGCUGGCUCGGUGGAGAUGCUCCUUCCGCUUUUCAUUCCACUCCACGCCCUUCGUGUUCAAAUUAAAACGCGAACCGAGCCAGCCGUACGUGCGAGCAGCGCGAUGCUCGCAAAUACGUCGUCGACGGUAAAUAAUUCCUAAUUAGUCUGUCGCCCAGGCCAGGACAACAACAAUGGAGACGCAUCGUCGCGUUGCUGCAAGGAGGUGGAAUCGCGGUACGAGCGCGAGUCGCAUCUCUUGAUUCUCUCUUUCUGCUCGCUGCAUUUGCACCGCUUGCGAAGGGGAUCUCGCGAGGGGAACGGUUAAACCGAGCAAAUUGUGAUCUUAACUCGCUGCACUGAUACCGGAUACAACUUCCAACCAGGACAGUGCCGAGACGUUAACGAACGACUGUUUUGAGUAGGUGUGGUAGCAAGGUACAAGUUGCUUCAGAAAUGACUGGCUAGCUACUGCUCAAAGAUGUAUCUUUUUGAUACAUGUAUAAGGUGCUUCAAAAACUUGGAAAAUAACACAAGAUUUUGAGUUGAUCCAAAUUUUGAAGAGUACCAAAAUAUUAAGCAACGUACAGGAAGUUUAAAAAAGAAUGUACGAACCCAUGCGCCAUCAUACUGGGAUAAUUAAUUCUAACGAAGCUACUGGAAACGAAGCGAAGGUGGUUAUUCAAAUGAAACAUCCGCAGAAGCAGCGAAAGAAGAAAAAGAAGGGAUCAAGGCAGCAGCAGUAGCAACAGCAGCAGAAGAAGAAGAAGAAGAAGAACAAGAAGAAUAAGAAGAGGACGAAGACGAAGAAGAAGAAAUUGCUAUGCGGGACGCGGCAGAGCAGCAUAACGGUAAGUCCUCGCUGGCAAACGAUCGUGGUGUCAUUGUGCCGUCACAAUGCAAGGUUAUUCAUCUGAAAUUCUCACGGCGACAUCAAUCCUAUCGCUCGAUAGAAAUCUCCCCUCUGCGUGCCGAGUAUUCCAGCUUCAUUAGAAAGACGUGGCCCAUGAAUAUGCGCGAUGUGACCGACCUGAUCAAGCUGCCAUAUCGCGUCACUUAUCCGUGCAGACGAUUUUCCCUGUAAAUGCGACAACACGUGUGCUGCGAAUUUUGACGGAAGUCUCAGGUGUCGCGGCGUAGCUGAUUUCUUCUGCAGCCUGAUGCUGUCCAUUCAAAUCAGUAUCUUACUUUUCAUUACUACAGCGAGAAUUAAACUGGGAAUUAUCCAGCGUUACCUAGGUAACCCCCCCGUUAAUUGUCGCAGUGCAGACCUUUAACUCCACGCUACCACACCGAAGUAUACUUUGCUCAAAAUGAGCACUUUUUGACGGACUACCUUCGAGGCAAGGAAAAAAAAUAGAGCCAGUAAUGGCGGCCUUCUAUAUUUCUUCGCGCAAUCAAGACAUUUCUGGGUAAUUUGUGGCCGUAGAAGGUGGAUACUUUGCUGGGGCUACAUAGCAAGGAUCUAAUAUACCCGGCUCAUAAUCAUUAAUCACCGGAGAGAAAUCACCUUGGUCGUUUUUUUCUUCCACCAAGUUACUGGAUUGUGUAUAGAGACCUCUGACGAGGGUAUAAAUCAUUUAUAGUAAAUGGCAAAUACUAUUAUCGGAGAAAACCAUAGAAGUCUGAAAACAAUCUCGAAAAAACAGUUUAACGUAUGAAACAUAAUAAAAAUCAACUGAUUUUCCAUGGAAGACAAAGAAAGUUAGAUUCCAUUUACUAAAUCAUACGAUUUAACCGCAGCAAAAUAUUCGCUAGCGGACUGGCCAAGUAUGGCCGACUUUAAUGACCGUGCUUAAGGGAUGAGAUGGACGAACGGGUCAUUUCGCGAGGACAUUUAUAAAUGACAUAGCAGCGGGACGGCGAUAUAACCCGACUUGACUGGCGCCCUGUUCCGGCCAAAGAGGAAGCAGGGGUUGCGACGCGAAAGGGGGUAGUAGUAUGGGGGCGGUGUGCGCGGAUCUGAAUCGGCCAGGGAAACUCUGAGGAUAGUGGUUUUAGAUACAUACCCCGUGUACAUAGUUGGUGCACACAGACGACCCGACCAUGCACAUUCGGAGGUUGCUUGGUAAUGGCUUCGGUUUAUUAAUGACCGGUCAGCUGAGUUAGCAACCGGCGUGUAUUCCACGCGAACCACCCUUAACGCACGCCUACCCCAUCCAAAGCGAUUGCAAAACCCAUAGACAGAGAUGAGAGUUUUGCUUCGUCAAGAAACUCGCUGAUGGAGCAAGAAAUAGUUUGCUACCUACUUUUUCCAUUUCCUAUGUUAUGCAAAAAACUGUAGAAAGUACAUUAAUUCCCAUAAAGAAUAGUUUACAAGUAUUUAAGGACACCUUUUAGCUGGUGUGUUUCAGCCAUAUUUUAAAGUUAACCUCGUACGAGGACCACGAAUGGAAAUGGGUUAAUUCAGAUGGAAAAGGAAAAACGAAAAGGAACUUUUAAAGUAAAUAAUUAAAUGUGAUAGAAUUGAAAGACAAGUCACAAGUACUUUGAUCUCUAAUUCAAUUGUAAACGUCAACGCGUCAUCGUAAUUUGAUCGUUUACGCAGCUCGGGGCGUCGCAUGUUCGACUAACGAAACACGUAUCACCGUUCCUCCUGUGUUUACAGUGGAAAAAACGAAAAGCGCGCUAACCCAUCAUUACGAUUCCUCUCCAAUCGAGGAAUCGAGGAAUCACAAUGACCCCUGGACGACUCUAAUUCAGUCGAUGCACGACGCAAUUGUUGCAUAUGUUCACAUGCCGUCAUGCGUGCUUCCAAGUAACCAAUAGACACGAUAGGGUUAAGGGAAUCCGUAAUUAUUGCAGAAUUUUUGUUUAACCAUCAUCGACAAAUUUACGCCUAAUUCAUCUUAUCCUUGAAACGUCAUAUUUUGGAAAACAGUAGGUGGAAUAGUAAGCCAAAGCUAACUUAAAUAAUAAGACAAAACGGAAGGAUUCAGUUCGUGGCUACAGCUCGUUUACUUUCUUUCGAUCUACCACCAUAGGACAAACGUUGCAAACGAUCAAAGCGAGCAAGGCAAUAAUUCAAAUGGUCCAGGUUCGUUCAUGUAAAUGGCCUAGCUAUAGUGCAUUCAUACACACAUGGAAAGUGACCUAAGGGAAACGUCACAUUCGUUCGAACGUCUGCUCUAGUAGCACGUCAGACGUCUAAUAUAUUGACGUUAAACGUGGAACUGUUGCCGAGAUGUGUCUCGCGGCAAACAGGGGAGGGUUCUGCUCGGAUGUGAAAGGAUCGGAAUGCGAGCAAAGGACAUUAAGCUCGGCCAGCGUCGGGACGAAGGUCUCUUUGUCGCUGUCAAGCUCAGAUUUGAGGAAAAAUAACGCGAUGACACGCGAGCCAUUGUGCUCGGAUCUCGGACGAUGACUGGCGCUGCUCGUUGUGGGAAUUUCGUUGGCUCUCUGUUCACGUGCCGCCUAUUAGGUUGCACUAUGAAGGAACGGUUUGAAUACCGGAGGUUAUGUUACCCGAUCGCUACCUGUCCACCAUCGCUGAGUAGUUCCAACGAGUGUAUAUUAAUUCGACGCCUUUUAACUUCACUACCUUCAACUUUUUCCCAAUAAUUCUUUGUCAGUUUCAUGGAUUUCAGAAAAUUAUUAUUCGUUAAUCGAUUACCAUCGAUUCGUUAAUAUUUGUCUCGUUUUUUAAUCGAACGAUAACUAUGCCCGUACAUAACUUAAAAUAAAAUAUUUUAUCCAACGUUUUAUCUUCCACGAGUGCACGUCCUGGAAUGUUCCCGGUAGUCCCCGACAAUGAGCCGCCCCGUUUGCGGAUAUUUUUCAUUUCGUAUGAUCGAUAAGCUACUCGAUCGCGUUCCUCGUCGAAAAAUGGCUGAGUAGAAAAACUUGUUCUUGUCACCGGCCGGGCUUCUGACACCUGUUAGCCCGCGAAAUUUGAUCGAUCGACAACGACAACAACGUCGAUACUCUUCUAUAAGUCUCCACGGGGAAGAGUCUGGCGAAAAAAGACGCACAUUUGACAAACAGUUAUGGUAUGGUUCCAUAUAUGGGGAAUACACGCCAGGCGGAUCGUAAUACGGUGUGGAUGGCCCGGUACAAGUAGAAUCAUGGAAUACAAGCUUUCCCUCUCAAAAUUGACGAGAUACUUUCUCUUUGAUACUUUGCCUUCGAUCAUACGUAAGAUCGUUACAAGGUAAGGUUAGGUUAGUUUGGAGGAAUAGUUAGCGCCAUCUACAACUCAAGUGCAACAAAGGCUUCCUUUGGUUUUAGUCAUUUAGUUGCCAUUUUAGAGUUCAUAAGGUGAGCAGAGUACGAGGUCGCGACGUCUAGGUCUAUGUUGACGCUCGUCAUAGUCUCACGGCGCUAAACGAUCGCAAGUUUAACGAGUGUCGAUGCAAAUGCGGCGAAUUGUCAAGCCAGACCACGCGUGAACAUGGCGCGGCGAUCAGUGGAUAUUGAAUUCGAAAUUCCCCGAUUAUCGGUGCUCUAUUUGUUCUACUAUCUGGCAGCGAGGCACGUAGCCGCGAUCGGCUUCCCGCCACUGAAAUAUGUCGUUUGCGGUGACGUGAAGGUACGCGACGAGUGCGUCGCAUAUGUAAUUCCUACUUAGAGUCGACAUUACGGUAAUAUACGGCGCAUUAACCAAGUUUCUGCCUUCGACUCGCUCGACCGCCCUUUCUCUUCGCCCUCCCUCCUCCCUGCUCCUCGCUCUCUUUCAACAACUAGCCUCCCGUCCCGACCUCUCACGUUCCCUCCCAUCGGCGAGCUUCACGUGUUCGUUUCAUCAGGUGUUUUUUUUUUUCAUGCUUCUCACCGGAUACGUACGUGUAAAAUGAAAAAGAGUGUUCUUGUCGUGCGAGACCGGUGUCAGACACGCGCUGGCCACGUCGAAUUCCGCUUCCUGGCUACUAGCUUCCCAUCAUGCCCAUUGCUGAACUUGAAAAUUAUUUCCGUUUACGGAUUUGCCCUUAGUCAUGGCGUAUUUGGAAUCUACUCCGCUUUAAUUGUCUUCCUUUAAACACUGGAGGGUUCCAGUAGGUCUCAAAUCGGACCAGUGAACCGACGAGACGGGUCACUACAUCUAUGUCCCUAGUCCAGUGAAAAAAAGUGUUCCUUUAACAGAUUGACAAGGAUGAUAGUGAGUAAUCGGUAAUCAUUACCGUGUCAAUAUCGAGGGAACGGCAGACGGUUGGUGAAACAGGGAUGCUUUUCAAUUGGCGGCCAUGGCGUGGCAAUCGACAUGAAUUUUGAAGCGUAUCUGAUAGCAGCACGGUGCCGCCUAAAUAUUUGAUGAAACAUUCCGGCCGCAAUAUGGGGCCCCGCAUUUCCCCGGAAAACGCCGUGAUCUCCUGUAGCCGGCACACCAGACCGCCAUUACUUUGAUACAUAACCUCGCUUCUCUCCGUCCCUCUCCCGCCUUCAUAUAUUGAUAGCGAGAAUGCAUUAUUGAUGCAUCGGUUAUAUUUAUGGGGACAAUUUAAAGCUCGCCAAUCAUUUCUCGGCAGCGAAUCGAUCGUGCGGCCGCGGUCGUUCGUUGAACCGGGCCGUAUUAAAAAUUCAAACGGAACGGCGGGAAAAUUUGAAAUGCGACGCGUGUUCCUGCGGCCUCGAACGCAUUAAUGCAUGCAGUCAAUUACGCGCGGACAGAAAGGAGAUGAUAAUUCCAACGAAGUCACGCUCUUUCGUCGAAUUUUAAAACAAACAACACUCGGAUUCAUGAAUAAUCCAAGGAUUUUGAAACGUUAACACUUGGACGAUAGCGUUUCUUCUUGCGAUCGGUUUGCAAAUUCGUCGAAAGCAAAGGCGAGCCGCAGCUAUUUGUACAGCCACGAAAGAGAAGACUGUUAUUGUUUAAUAUUUCAUGGAUGUUGAUGGACGCAUUCGCGUGUGGAGAGGAAUACCGAUCCCCUAUGGCGUGUAGGGACAAAGUUGAUUUUUAUGUUCGAAUAUCGAGAGACUCAGACGAGACUUGUCAGAUGCGUGGGGCCGAAGGGACAUGUAUGAAAAGGGUGCGAGAAUGGGGAGAAAGUGAACGUGUCGUAGCGAACGGAAACGUUCUCAGGAGGCUUAAAAUAAAUCCGAAGACAAAUAAUUGCGAUAUUAAUUAAAUAUUCACGGUUACACUUUUGUACGGUGAAAAAUUACUUAAUUUUUUUUUUUUUACAACAAUGAAAUUCUGUUAAAAGAUAAAGAAGAAGGUGAGUGCAGAAUAGCGAAAGCAAUUUCACAAAACGACACCUCUUCUGUCGCAAUGGAAGGAUCCGGUGGCGCUAUCUCGACAGUCGUUGCACGCCCCGGGUGUACCUAACCUCUGCGCAGAUUUAUAUUCGCCUAAUCCUGGCGCAAUAGCAUGGACCAACAGCGAGGAGGCUGCGUCCAACGAUGAGGGGCUCUCUUAAUUGAAGUAUACCUUAUCUAAAAACUGGUGAUCCCGCAGAACCGCGAGCCAGCAAGACCUUUGAUCCGUUAAGGUCUGCUUGGUCGUGAUUGCGGGCUCUUGUCUUCUCUUAUAAUUGAUAUUGGCUGGACGGUGCGGGCGUCGUCGUUGUGCGAGCCAGCCAGAGAAGGAUGCCGGACAGGGAGAGACAGAGACAGAGAGGCUUCGAUGGCCUCUGGAAAGGCCGGAAUCCUCUAAUCCCCGAUGGUCCCGUCUUCGAGAAUAGUUGGUAAUCCCGCUGGAUAGUUGGAGAUCACCGAGUUACACCGGACACACUUGGAGCCGGGGGCUUUUAUUGGCAGAUGCUGCUAAGGUGGAUGUCUGAAGAGAAUUUCGACUUGAGCAACUCGCUGCUUGCAGUCGCUAGUUGAAGUCGAACGCGGAGCCAAUAGGAACGCGAACAGUUUCGAGGCUGUGCUUGUGCCCGAUCGAGCUGGAAAGCGCUUAAUGUCCCAAGUCCAGAUCUAACCCAGGCUAAAGACUUAUACCGGUAUACUUAAUGCACGCGGUCUAAGACGGGCCAAACGUGGCUGUACACAGUUUCCAGCAACUGUAAGGUUCUAUUGAAUCUUGUAAAUGGCUCAGAUCCCCUCGGAUCCGAUCUCAGAUUAGUCCUGUCUCUAUGUUUAAGAAGGUCCAACGUUUCCCGCCGAGUAUAUCGACUGGAAUGCUCGCCGUAUUUGCCUUACUGUCAUUAAGAACAACUCCUGAUGAAUAUGUUUAUAGCAGUGUUCACUUUUCUCUUGGAUCUCCCAAAGUACCUAUUUACUGAUGUGAUUAAUGAAAGAAGAUUAGAAGACAGAAGACAGAAUUAAGAAUUAGAAGAUAGAUUGGUUUGGCCUUUAUCAGCAUUGCACGAGCAACGAACAAAAUAUGAUGUCUGGGAUAAAACGUGCGGUCAGAUUUGUCCCUUAGCAUCCAUAGCCAUCCCCAAGAUAGGGACUGAUUCGCACGUGUUGAGGAUCAAGUAGAUAAUUCUUCGUCCCAGUAGGACGAGCCCAAUCUUGUUACCAUUGCUCCAUAAUCGAACGAUAACCGAAAGAAUACUUUGAUCAAAGUGGAAGGUCAUCAACGAUUGAACAAAUUUGACGAAACGAAAUGAUUGCAAAUAUUGAAAUUGAUCAGUCUGUUAGAAAAACAUGACAGAUAGUUAAGAAAUGGUUGAAAAUAGCCGGUGGCGCCUCACCUUCCUGGAACAAACGAGGCAAAAUUUCCAUAAAGGUUAAAGCUUGGCUUUGCCCGCUUCCUGUCGCCCGUACCACCAUAAUCGCAUAUGCUGUGAACACGCCAUAAGGCGUGGACGUUUCGAUGUGCGAAACCACGCCGCGCACCCCGUGUUCCCUGUCUAAAUUCGUGAGGACAUUUAUGAGGAUGCGCCUGCAAGAUCUUAUCGGCCAUGAAAAAUUCAACGUUUCAUCUGUCCCACGAACCGGACUGCCCUGCCGAUCUGCAUUAAUUUAUUUAUACCGGCCACUUAAGGGGCCCUCGAAUAAAUUUGACGGACGCUUUAAAAUCUGGUAGGUACCAGCCGAGAAUUGGUUAGAAUUUCACGCCGACCGGAAAUGACCUGCCCUUUUGCCAUUUUAUUUUUUUUUUACUUUCACUUAUUAGAGAUGGACUUCGACUUUUGCAAUUUUUAAUCAAUAAAAAUAUUAACUGGGAUGCAAAAUAUCCUGACCAUAUUUGUGAACGUAAAUUCAUAGUAAACACCAUUCAUAAGUCACCAGGAAGGAAUUAAUGACGACACGUUUAUAGUGGUGGCUCAUAAAAAAGCCGAAACGAGUUUCGGCCUGGAACGUGCUGAUCAUGAAAUAAGGACUUUAACUUUUUCGAUUUCGCGGCCCGAUAUCGAGCCGUUUCUACCUGUAUUAGUCGCCAAGCAUACAACCCCAUGGAUUCUCAUAUGCACUUACUUUUCAUUGCUGACCCAUCGUAUGUAAUAUAAUAUGUAUCGUAGUCUGUGACUCCCUAUGGAACACUGCUCGCCCACGUUUCUUCUACGGCCAGCUCCUAAACCCUGCCACGCUUUCGUUCGUAAACGAAAACGAGUUUGCUCGAUCUUGAAUUCUCACCGCCCAGGCGCGCCCGUGGGAUUUCUCUGUUGAACGAGAAAUUUUCGAAGAAAUAUGUAUCUCUUCCUUUCUUUCCGUCGCAUAUUUAACGAGGCGCAACGAUCGAGUGGGAAAAAUGCAACGGGAAGAAUCGGUUAAUCCGCAGGACCUUAAAGUUCCAGCAAAGGCGGUCUCUAUAAAUAUUUCAAGAGCGUAGGGGGAGGCGGAUACAUCUCGAGGGGGUUGAAGCGCGACUUCUUUUUCUAUUAUGCCGUGAUUUUUUAUUGACGAAGUGGACACUGCGGGUCCGGAAGACAUCUAUUACUUUGUUGCUCUUGCUAGCUCUCCCUGGUAUACUGCGAGUCCGACGAGGGUGGAAAGUUCGAAGGAAGACCGACGGGGGUGGAACGGGGACAGUUUUGUCCCAGGCGUGCAAUACUCGGGGCCAUAGAUCACGCAAUAUCAGUUGUCAGGCCGGAUCGAAUGGCCGGGAGGGUGGACAACUGGACACCGACUACCCCCGAAGUGCGAGUGAUGACCCUCGAGGGAGGCCAUGCAAAAACUGGUCCUCGCCAGCCUCCUCCCUUCCGCGCUUUCACCUUUGCUGUUUAUGGCGGAGGACACAUAAAAAGGAAUAUGUAACGAGCGCGGAUAAUUCACCGUUCACUCUGCUGGGACCCCCGUCCACCGAGGGUGGCGCUUCCUUUUUUUUCUUCUUUUUUUCUCCUUUCUCUUGCACGCCACUGUGGGUAUGCCUUUUUUCCUCGAUAUUCCUAUCCCUGCAGACCGUGAACGCGGAAUUGCCGCGUCGCCUCGAUUCACCGUUGACUUAUUUAUGCGAUCGUCUAUCGUGUGAAACAAUGUUAAGGCAUACGAGGGAUGCUUCGGACCUUUGCUGACCAACUGGUGACCAAUCGGAAUAGUGAGUCCCUUGUCAGUCGAGGAAGAUGCACUUUCCCGGGAAUAUAAAUUCGAUUUGCCUUUCCCAACUACCCUGCUGAUUGCUCGCUGAGUUAUUUCUGCUAGCUUGAUUUCAACGAAUUUCAAACGACCUUGGGAAUCGGGCAUAUGUUACUUCAUCGAAAUAGGAGAUGAGCUAUAAAGAUCCUCCUAUUCGUACGCGUCAUUUUUUCUUCGGUCUUAUUUCGAAUGCUGAUCGCUACGAAUAACUAAUGGAGAUUCUCCGUAAGUGGCACACUCAUCGAGACUGUACGGCCGCUCUAUAAACGUCGAAACAAUCCAGCCGGCUUCAACGCGGCCGUAAAUCCUGCCCUGUUCAUUGGCCAAGUCCACGAGGCUCUUUCGAUCUCGCCUCUUUUUUUUUUCUUUUUAACCGCGUCGAGCUAGCAGACGGGGAAAGAUAACGUUCGGAUCCGCUCGAUCCGCCUUGCAGAAGCGUUGGACAAAGCGACAGCGUUGCGCGCCAAAAUUAGCACGGAACAAUGCACGCGGUCGGAUUCAGAGACGAGGACUGCCAUCCCUCCCUCCCUGUUCCUUUACUUGUUCCCGAUUUCGUUCGCGCUACUCGCCACCUUCUUUUCUUUUCCUUCUCCCCAUAUGAUCGAGACGCUGGCGGAAAUUGCUCUGCCCUCCGUCGCCCUGCUCGCCACGCAUGCCGCGGUUGCACGGCUAUCUAUAGAGAACGGGGCACGCAGCACGCGACGAUGCAUCGUUCCGCUUCUUCCCGCCCCGGCUACUUUCUUUACGCUUAAACGGCUGCGAUCCGUUCACCCAAUGUCACUAUUAUUAACCCUUUCAAUUCUAUGAAUCUGGACAUGGUGCUUCAGACACCAGCUACAUUGUUAAGUAUCUUGCCAAUCUAUACUCUUAUAACUUGUUUUUCGGAGAAAUACCACUUCGAAAGAAGUUCCAAACAGAAAAUAACGAAUCGCGAAGGGCAAGAAUACUUCUCGUCCCAUCUUUGCUUCUAAACGUCCCAGAUCGACCGUUCCCCUAGCAGCGUUCCCUCGUUUUCGACAAAAAGUCAACUAAUUACAGCUAAUGUAUUCCGUCGGGCACUCGCGAGAUACAAUAAUCGUCGGGGAGGGAGCAAGCGGACCGGGGGAAUGGGAACGAAGCCGGCGAAUUGAAAGUUUUUGCAUCGGAACGUCCCUCCGAGAAUUACGCUGGAUGCCGAUGGGGAGUGAUGGGGAAGUUUACAGUUUAAUUUGCCGGAAAAUUAUUGAAGGAAGUCGGUACGGGUACAAAUCAUAACGCUCCGUGAAUCCGUACACCGGAUAUCCCUUUUCCUCCCCACCAACGAACGUUCGAUCUCUCUACAUCACCCAAAUGACUUCUGCCCGACGACGACGCGCGUCUAAGUGUGCGUGUGUAUCCGCGAAUUCAUCCUGGAUUAUCUGCCGUGAAAUUGUCCGAUUUGACUCGCAUGUUCCAUGGCACGCUAUUUGUUUCGUCACGUUCUUCGUGCAAUAGGGAUAUUCGCAAAAUGCAAUCUGAAUUUUUAUUUCAUUGAUUUUUAUUAUUUCAUAUACAACCAAUAAUUAGUAUCAAGUAAUCAUUUUUAUGAAAGAAUUAGUAAAGCUGGAAAAAGCGUUCUUAUUAGUAUCUCUUGCUGCAACACUUGGAGGUCCGGCCAACUUCCAAGCAGUCGGUGGUGUGUUGACACAUGGCACCAAUAUCGCGUGGUUAUCCGUUGAACCGAUAGCACCUGUUAACCAAGUAAACCGGUUAACUAAUCCCUUAAAUCGGACACCUGACGAGGAUCAGUUAACCGGUUAACUGGGGUACCCGCAAACACCGGAACGUAAUUGGACUGACAGGAAGAUGCUAGACGUUUCAACCGGUGCGAACUAGUAGCGUCGGGAAUCAUAGUUUUAAAUGCAUCAGCUAUUUAAAAAAUUCCCUUAUUUAGAAGCUACAAGAGGUGUACAUUUUUCAUCCGGACAUAAGCUAACAGCGGUCCACUAAAACCCGCACUUGGACAGCGCCGUGUCCUCGCUGCUUUAUGUCGGAUUUAUGAGGAGGCAAAUGGAAGAAAAACACGAGGCGGCGCGUGUUUAUUGUCCGAGCCGUGCAAGCUCGCGUGCUUUCCACCGCCACUUCUCACGUUGUUUCGCGGUCUUUCGAGUCGCGGACAUAGGACACGUACAGGCGUAACAACCCACGACUAUGGGCUUCUGCACUCUUUCCAUGCACUCCCCAUUCGACCGUCGGGCAUUAUCCAAGGAAACGCUCGAGUGCUGGCUGAAAAUGUUCUCGGUGACUUUCUGAAAGCCAUCUUAACUUUCGAGCGUCGCUGAACCCCGCAAGUAGCUUUGUUCAGCGGUUUAUGAAUUUUGAGGUUAGGUUAACCUUAACCGCUUAGAGGAGGCAGCUCUAUGUCUGGCUUUUCACGUGUGCACCCCUCGGCAGGGUGAGAGAUCAGGGUUCGCGAUUCUCUCGUAGAAAUCUGAAGGAAUGGUGGAAGGGAGCAACGCGUGUAUCGAUUCCGGCUCAAUAAAAAAGUCAUUCGAGAGCUGCAAAGGCAUGGUAUUGGCUGUAAAACGUUCACCGACUGAUAACAUCCAGUUGCAGCGAGUGGUGGGUGGCUUCCUGGCUGGUUGGCUCUUUUUCUCCCUCUACCCCAGCCCCUGAGUGGCGAUGGCCUGAUGGGACAGGGGGCAGGGGAGAAGACUGCGCCAGGAUGCCGAGGAUCAGGCCGUUAUUUAGUUAAUGACUAUUCUCUCGCUCGUAGGCGCUGCCAGGUCUGGAAUACAAGAUCGUGUUUGAGAUGCUCCGCGUGCUGCCGUUGCUGUUGCUGUUGCUGAUGCUGCUAACCCCGGAUCCGGGUGCGGGGCCCGGACUGUUCCGCUGCCUCGCUAUCUCGUGUAACUGAGAAUGAGAAUGCCGUGGCCCUGGUGCACGCUGCUAUUGCACGCGUGUCCUUGCGCUACCGCCACCAGUUUCGGUCAGCGCCGCAAUCACCACCGGGAAUGUUACGUAUGCGAGAGAAGGAACGGCUGGCAGGGAAUUUAGGAACGAUAUCGUGGAACCGAUAUUACGUUUAUUAUAGGCUCAAUGCUUUGGAUAGCGCAAUUAGCCUCUUUUCAUAACCUUUUGAUGGGCUUCCCUCCAAGUCAAUAGAGAAAUUAGAUCUCACCGUUAAAGAACAGACGAGUUUGCACCGACUAACCAGGAUUAAAAAGUUCCUAAAUCCA
Osmia lignaria (orchard mason bee) is the source of this 19276-nucleotide non-coding RNA. The record is from RefSeq and is a predicted model, not a curated record. Lineage: Eukaryota; Metazoa; Arthropoda; Insecta; Hymenoptera; Megachilidae.